This 253-nucleotide ribosomal RNA is filed under the name uncultured bacterium. Its description in RNAcentral is "partial 16S ribosomal RNA". It matches the Rfam family "Bacterial small subunit ribosomal RNA", at positions 524 to 776 of the family's 1533-position model. The record is from RNAcentral.
UACGGGGGGGGCAAGCGUUGUUCGGAAUUACUGGGCGUAAAGGGCUUGUAGGUGGCCAACUAAGUCAGACGUGAAAUCCCUCGGCUUAACCUGGGAACUGCAUUCAAAACUGACAAGCUAGAGUAUGGUAGAGGGUGGUGGAAUUUCCUGUGUAGCGGUGAAAUGCGUAGAUAUAGGAAGGAACACCAGUGGCGAAGGCGACCACCUGGACUGAUACUGACACUGAGGUGCGAAAGCGUGGGGAGCAAACAGG